Molecule: long non-coding RNA, 1890 nt
Filed under: Mus musculus (house mouse)
Lineage: Eukaryota; Metazoa; Chordata; Mammalia; Rodentia; Muridae
Description: long non-coding RNA chr3:89061806-89063696
Source: RNAcentral
GUUGCCCAUUGUGGUUCUUUAGUCCCAGCAUUUAGGAGGCAGAGGCCAGUGGACCUUUGUGGGUUUGAGGUCAGCCUGCUGUCAAAGCAUUCCCCAGGCCAGCCAAGGCUGCAUAGUGACAGGGUCUCAGUGUGUCUCUGGAAGGUGGAGCUUCCCUUUCUCCCACGCCCAGUUGGUCUGACUCACAUGGAGGGAGCUACUCUCAGGUCACUGCUUUCCGUCACUGCACAGGACACCAUCAGAAAUGAGAUCGCAAAUGAGAAAAGUCCCUCACUGAAUGCUAUGUGUAUCAACAUAACUGAAUGAAAAAAAUUAAAUUCUAGAAAAUAUUUACUAAAUUACUUCUUAUUUGGAAUUCAGUCAAAUCCACACCAACAGAAAUAUCAAUUACAAACAAUUAUGAGAGGCUGUGGAUGUGGAAAUCUUUUUGUUGUAAAAAGAUUUAUCAUCCCAGUGCACGUAGGUGGUGCACUUUCAUGCCCAUCAAAACAAAUAAAUAUUUAAAAUAAAGAAAUGCUGGAGAGAUGGCUCAUUGGUUAAGAGCACUCACUGUCUGUUCUUCAGAGGAACCAGGUUCAAUUCCCACCACCCACAUAGCACUGUCUGUAAUUCCAGUUGCAUGGGAUCUGCAACCUCACACAGAUAAAUAUGAAAGCAAAACACCAGUACAUACAAAUUAAAGAAGAUUUGUCACCCUAUAACAGGAUUAGUACAAGAAUGAGAAACUCAAAUUUCUCUUUGCUUGCAUAGUCCUUUAAAGCUAGCAGGCAUAUGAGCAGAAGCAAGAAUGUUCCCUAAAUACCCUAGCUAUUUCAAUAGUUACAGCUCACAUUCUUCAUGAGAAACUAUUUUUAUUUACUAUCACUGUGUUAUAUUUUAAAUAUGCACUAUAUCCGUCAUAAUCCUCAAUUUUUAAAUUAUUGUUUGUUAUUGGGGGUUAGGUUUUUGACUGUCAAGCCUCAGAAUAGUUACUUUUCCCCACUCCAAGUUUCAGUGUGGAGUUUUCUAGUUUUUUUAGUUCAAAGACCUUUAGGAUCUAGAACAAUGGCUUAGUAUUAUUAAGAGUACUGUGUGUUCCUAUAGAGAAUACAGGUUGAAUCCCCAGCCUGUAUGAUGGCUCACAGCUGCCAGUGAUUGGCAUUCAGUUAUCUGGUCCUCUCUGGUCUCUAGAGGCACCAUGCACACGUGUGGUACACAAACGUACAUACAGCUAAAACACCCAUACACAUAAAAUGUUAUUUUUCAAGUACACUGUGCUGCUGGGGAGGUGACUGAAUGGUGCAGAACACUGGCUGUCUUUGACAAGACUCAGGUUCAAUUCCCAGCACCCACAUGGCAUUGCAUCACACAUGUGGAGCACCGCAUAUAUGUGCGGACAUGAAGCUAGGCAAACACUCAUUUACAUAAAAAUAAUUAGUAUCUCCACAAAGAAAAGAGAGGGUGUUCAUAGGCUGGAGCCGCCCACUGCAUGUACAGGCUCUCAGUUCUAUCCCCAGCACCCCUUUAAAAAAGGAUUUUUUUUUUCUUCUUUGAAACAGUGUAAGCCAGCCAAACUGUCAACAUCGUCAGCCUCUGGAGUUCUGGGAUUACAGGCAGGGACCAUCACGGUUAGCCAAGAAAAAUAAAAGUUUAAUAAAAGAAUGCAAGCAAGCUGUGCUGGUAGACAGUAAGUCCAGGUACCCUUUUCACCAUGUGCUGUAGAGCAGCUAAACUACAGAGCACACCCUCCAUCUCAAGUGAUAGCAAGAGAGAGAGAGAGGGAGAGAGACAGACAGACAGACAUUGAGACUGAGGUUCCCCCUUGUCUUUUAAACACGUGUACUAAACCUUGUGUUCUUCUGCAGAUUCUUCCCAGCAAACCCUUGCAGCUCCACUUUUGAAUCUUCCCCC